GAUGGUGCACCCAGGGGCGAGCGAGGGCCUGUGCUGGCUCGACUGGAGCGCGUUCACUGUUUUUACCGCAGGAAGUAAGACAAAAAGAGCAGCGGCAGGAAUGUUUAUGAAUACCUCCAGUCCCCGAAGAGCUGCGGGCUGACCUGAUUAUCACCUGCGUGUAAUUCCACGGUCGGGGAGGAGCUGCGGCUCCUGGAGGAAAAGGGGGAGGUUGAAUGAAAGAUGCACUCCAGGAAGAUCACACGCAGCACAGCCCCGGAAGAUAAACACAGACAUAAAAACACACAUUGGGUAGAAAAAGAAAACAACAGCAACAUAAAGAAAGGCAGAUAUUUAUCAGUCAAGCUUGUUUUGUUGUUGCAUGCAUUCUUCCGACAUGAGCUCUGACUGUGGCCUUUUGUGAAAGAGGAAAUCAAAUGGUGGGGCUAACAGGAGCAAGAGCUCCAACCCCCUGCAGCAUAUACAAACAGAAAUAAACCCAGGCCGCCUGCAUCUAACAAUAGGAAAGCAACUUUUUCUUCAAGGCUACAGCAAAGUUUGAGGAGUCGCUUAAAAGCUGUAGGGUUUGUGGAGCCGAUGGAGGGAAGCCACAGUUUUACGGGUUCAAUGUGCUUCAGAAAGGGAACGCGGUGAGAAGGACCAGACCCCCGGUCCGUCCAGGCAUCUACGCUGGGUUGCAGGCGUAGCCACAAAGCAGCUCUGUCUUCAUUUCAGCGGGGGCACAAUGCAUGUCCAUGUGCUGACCGGUUGGCACAAUAGAUCAGAGGAGGCCAAAGCGUAGCUGGGUGCUGCCAUCUUCUGGACAAGUCUCA
Molecule: long non-coding RNA, 812 nt
Organism: Gambusia affinis (western mosquitofish)
Lineage: Eukaryota; Metazoa; Chordata; Actinopteri; Cyprinodontiformes; Poeciliidae
Exons: 3
Source: RefSeq, a predicted model, not a curated record